GAUGAACGCUGGCGGCGUGCUUAACACAUGCAAGUCGAACGGGAAACCUUUUAUUGAAGCUUCGGCAGAUUUAGCUGGUUUCUAGUGGCGGACGGGUGAGUAACGCGUGGGUAACCUGCCUUAUACAGGGGGAUAACAAUCAGAAAUGGCUGCUAAUACCGCAUAAGCGCACAGAGCUGCAUGGCUCAGUGUGAAAAACUCCGGUGGUAUAAGAUGGACCCGCGUUGGAUUAGCUGGUUGGUGGGGUAACGGCCCACCAAGGCGACGAUCCAUAGCCGGCCUGAGAGGGUGAACGGCCACAUUGGGACUGAGACACGGCCCAGACUCCUACGGGAGGCAGCAGUGGGGAAUAUUGCACAAUGGGGGAAACCCUGAUGCAGCGACGCCGCGUGAAGGAAGAAGUAUCUCGGUAUGUAAACUUCUAUCAGCAGGGAAGAUAAUGACGGUACCUGACUAAGAAGCCCCGGCUAACUACGUG
This 478-nucleotide ribosomal RNA is filed under the name uncultured bacterium. RNAcentral's name for it is "partial 16S ribosomal RNA". It matches the Rfam family "Bacterial small subunit ribosomal RNA", at positions 28 to 507 of the family's 1533-position model. The record is from RNAcentral.